GUGAGGAAUAUUGCUCAAUGGGCGAAAGCCUGAAGCAGCGACGCCGCGUGAGGGACGAAAUCCUUUCGGAUGUAAACCUCUUUUGCGGGGGAAGAAUAUCCCGAUUUUCGGGACUGACGGUACCCCGUGAAUAAGCACCGGCCAACUACGUGCCAGCAGCCGCGGUAAUACGUAGGGUGCAAGCGUUGUCCGGAAUUACUGGGUGUAAAGGGUCCGCAGGCGGGCAAGCAAGUCGGUGGUGAAAUCCCUCCGCUUAACGGAGGAACUGCCUUCGAUACUGCUUGUCUUGAGUGCGAGAGAGGAUGAUGGAAUUCAUGGUGUAGCGGUGAAAUGCGUAGAGAUCAUGAAGAACACCGGUUGCGAAGGCGAUCAUCUGGCUCGUUACUGACGCUCAGGGACGAAAGCGUGGGGAGCAAACAGGAUUAGAUACCCGUGUAGUCC
Molecule: ribosomal RNA, 441 nt
Filed under: uncultured bacterium
Lineage: Bacteria
Description: bacterial SSU rRNA
Rfam family: Bacterial small subunit ribosomal RNA
Source: RNAcentral